This 262-nucleotide ribosomal RNA is filed under the name uncultured bacterium. RNAcentral describes it as "partial 16S ribosomal RNA". It matches the Rfam family "Bacterial small subunit ribosomal RNA", at positions 793 to 1055 of the family's 1533-position model. The record is from RNAcentral.
GUCCACGCCGUAAACGAUGGAUACUUGGUGUUGGAGGUAUUGACCCCUUCAGUGCCGAAGCUAACGCGUUAAGUAUCCCGCCUGGGAAGUACGGUCGCAAGAUUAAAACUCAAAGAAAUUGACGGGGGCCCGCACAAGCAGUGGAGCAUGUGGUUCAAUUCGAUGCAACGCGAAGAACCUUACCUGGGUUUGACAUGUACUGGAAGACUACCAGAGAUGGUGUCGCCUUCGGGCCGGUACACAGGUGCUGCAUGGCUGUCGU